GACAGAGGUGCCGAGCGUUAGGCGGAAUCACUGGGCUUAAAGCGUGUGUAGGCGGAAGCGUAAGUGCCUUGUGAAAUCCCACGGCUCAACCGUGGAACUGCUGGGCAUACUGCGUUUCCUGAGCCAAUCAGGGGUCGUCGGAACAAACGGUGGAGCGGUGAAAUGCGUAGAUAUCGUUUGGAACGCCAAUGGUGAAAACAGGUAGCUGGGGCUGUGCUGACGCUGAGACACGAAAGCCAGGGGAGCGAACGGG
This 253-nucleotide ribosomal RNA is filed under the name uncultured bacterium. RNAcentral's name for it is "partial 16S ribosomal RNA". It matches the Rfam family "Bacterial small subunit ribosomal RNA", at positions 524 to 776 of the family's 1533-position model. The record is from RNAcentral.